AGGUAUCACAUGUCACAGUUCUAC
Molecule: non-coding RNA, 24 nt
Filed under: Arabidopsis thaliana (thale cress)
Lineage: Eukaryota; Viridiplantae; Streptophyta; Magnoliopsida; Brassicales; Brassicaceae
Source: RNAcentral